Long non-coding RNA from Platichthys flesus (European flounder), 796 nucleotides. RefSeq lists it as uncharacterized. The transcript has 6 exons. The record is from RefSeq and is a predicted model, not a curated record. Lineage: Eukaryota; Metazoa; Chordata; Actinopteri; Pleuronectiformes; Pleuronectidae.
UGAAGUUCUCAGGAACUGAGUUGAAUGACUGGAGGUGCACCAACAUCUGAUCAGUCUGGUUGAUGCUGAAAGAACAAGAGUACACAGGCGUGUGUUCCAAAAGCGGCGGAUGACAGAGGUCCGGUACGGGCUGGUGAUGGGUUUCCUCUGGGUGCAGCUGAUGUCAUGUAGAAUGUCAUAGCUUCCCUCCAUCGUCACCUCCACCUUUGUGGUUCUCAUGACGGGGUCCAGUGGCCAGGAAGCUGCUGCCAGUUCUGAUGCAAAUGGCGGAGCAACGAACCGUAGCGAGGCCUGGUUCCUGCACACAACGAGGUGGUCACUGCACAUUCAGCGAGCCUCGCUGAAAGUACGGUUUUUCACGGCGGAAAAACGACACCAUUGUAUGACACACAGAGCAGUGAGCGACCAUGUACGGCACCCGGGGAGCAGAUGUUGAGGGAGUAAGGUGCCUUGCUCAGGGGCACUAGACAGGGUAGGGAGAAUCCUCUUGUAUUUUUGGACAGAUUAGCCAUUAUGAAGGAGCUUCCAGUACAUCCAACCGGACCUUGCAUCAGCAUUGUAGAGUUCAGGAGUUGUCGGAGAAGAAAGAGGCUAAGCUUAUUGAAGCGGUGCAGAUGACAUGGAUCCAUCCUUCCACAGCCAGGAGCUCACCGACCUGUGUGCCACACUUCAAAUAAGACUAAAAGCUACACUGAUCUCACAGCUACACAGCAAAGACGUCUACAGCUACAACUGGCUAGGCCAGUUGUGUUUGUACAAUAUUUGUGCUGUAUGUAAAUAAAGCUUUGACUCAACA